CAUGAUACACAUAAGCACAGGAAAAGCUGGAAGAUGGUGUCCACAUCUCAGCUCCUUGGGCUUCUGUUCUUCUGGGUUUCAGCCUCCAGAGGCAACAUUGUGCUGACUCAGUCUCCAGCCACCCUGUCUGUGACUCCAGGAGAAAGAGUCACCAUGGCCUACAAGACCAGCCAGGGUAUUGGAACAAGCUUACACUGGUAUCAGCAAAAAACAAAUGAGGCUCCAAGGCUUCUCAUCAAGUAUGCUUCCCAGUCCAUCUCUGGGAUCCCCUCCAGGUUCAGUGGCAGUGGGUCAGGGACAGAUUUCAUCUUCAGCAUCAACACUGUGGAGGCUGAAGAUGUUGCACUUUUUUACUGUCAGCAGGGUAACAGCUUCCCUCCCACAGUGAUAGAGACCCUAGCAAAAACUACCAGGGAAGCAGAAAUGUGAGGCUGGGCUUCUUCAGCUGCUUCUGGUGGUGCCUUCACAGUGUUUCACAGAUGUGGACAGCCUUGCAUUUUUAGGUUUAAUACAAAUGAAGAACCCUGGGAUCUCUCUUGCCUCUGAACUCUCUUCACUCCACUUCAGUUCCAGAAGUCAUAGCCUACAAUGACACUCAUGGUGUAAACAAUCUUCAUCUAGUGUAUUAUAACCCAGAGAAAAUCCCAGCCUGGAUAGACAAAACAAUUGAUUUCAUGCUCUUAUAAUUGUUGGAAGUAUAAAUGAGGCAUUACCUGAUGCCAUAGCAUAUACUAUACUCCUGUCCUCACGAAGAAGAAAGCUGAGACUUACUACUUCAUGUCUCAGUUGCAACUUUCCCAUGCACAUUUUAUAGUAAGUGAACAAGUCUUGAGGAUAAAGUGUUUUCUUGUUUAUAGAUUCAUAUGAACUGGACAAUCUAGUUUGGUGAAAAUUGCAAAUUUCUUGAAAAGUGGUUACAGUUACUACUUAAUAGAAAAAAAAUGAAACUAGAGUU
Non-coding RNA from Peromyscus leucopus (white-footed mouse), 955 nucleotides. Lineage: Eukaryota; Metazoa; Chordata; Mammalia; Rodentia; Cricetidae. The record is from the annotation of a RefSeq genome assembly.